UCUUUAAACACUAUCUAGAUAUAUGUUAUUGGUGAUGCAGGAAAAUAUUUAGGUGGGUAAUCUUAACCAGGUAGCAGUGACGGGCCAAAUUUGUGUCUUUACCGUGUAGCAGCGACGGGCCAAAUUUGUGUCUUUACCGUGUAGCAGCGACGGGCCAAAUUUGUGGCUUUACCGUGUAGCAGCGACAGGCCAAAUUUGUGGCUUUACCGUGUAGCAGUGACGGGCCAAAUUUGUGGCUUUACCGUGUAGCAGCGACGUGCCAAAUUUGUGGCUUUACCGUGUAGCAGCGACGGGCCAAAUUUGUGGCUUUACCGUGUAGCAGCGACGGGCCAAAUUUGUGGCUUUACCGUGUAGCAGUGACGGGCCAAAUUUGUGGCUUUACCGUGUAGCAGCGACAGGCCAAAUUUGUGGCUUUACCGUGUAGCAGCGACGGGCCAAAUUUGUGGCUUUACCGUGUAGCAGCGACGGGCCAAAUUUGUGGCUUUACCGUGUAGCAGCGACGGGCCAAAUUUGUGGCUUUACCGUGUAGCAGCGACGGGCCAAAUUUGUGGCUUUACCAUGUAGCAGUGACGGGCCAAAUUUGUGGCUUUACCAUGUAGCAGUGACGGGCCAAAUUUGUGUCUCUACCGUGUAGCAGUGACGGGCCAAAUUUGUGGCUUUACCGUGUAGCAGCGACAGGCCAAAUUUGUGGCUUUACCGUGUAGCAGCGACAGGCCAAAUUUGUGGCUUUACCGUGUAGCAGCGACGGGCCAAAUUUGUGCCAUGAUGUAACACCCC
Molecule: long non-coding RNA, 777 nt
Organism: Eriocheir sinensis (Chinese mitten crab)
Lineage: Eukaryota; Metazoa; Arthropoda; Malacostraca; Decapoda; Varunidae
Exons: 2
Source: RefSeq, a predicted model, not a curated record